Molecule: ribosomal RNA, 413 nt
Filed under: uncultured Campylobacter sp.
Lineage: Bacteria; Pseudomonadati; Campylobacterota; Epsilonproteobacteria; Campylobacterales; Campylobacteraceae
Description: bacterial SSU rRNA
Rfam family: Bacterial small subunit ribosomal RNA
Source: RNAcentral
AACGAUGAAGCUUCUAGCUUGCUAGUUGUGGAUUAGUGGCGCACGGGUGAGUAAGGUAUAGUUAAUCUGCCCUACACAAGAGGACAACAGUUGGAAACGACUGCUAAUACUCUAUACUCCUAUUUAACAUAAGUUGAGUAGGGAAAGUUUUUCGGUGUAGGAUGAGACUAUAUAGUAUCAGCUAGUUGGUGAGGUAAUGGCUCACCAAGGCUAUGACGCUUAACUGGUCUGAGAGGACGAUCAGUCACACUGGAACUGAGACACGGUCCAGACUCCUACGGGAGGCAGCAGUAGGGAAUAUUGCGCAAUGGGGGAAACCCUGACGCAGCAACGCCGCGUGGAGGAUGACACUUUUCGGAGCGUAAACUCCUUUUCUUAGGGAAGAAUUAUGACGGUAUCUAACGAAUAAGCAC